CCAGACUCCUACGGGAGGCAGCAGUGAGGAAUAUUGGUCAAUGGCCGAGAGGCUGAACCAGCCAAGUCGCGUGAGGGAAGACGGCCCUACGGGUUGUAAACCUCUUUUGUCGGGGAGCAAAGCGAGUCACGUGUGACUCAUUGAGAGUACCCGAAGAAAAAGCAUCGGCUAACUCCGUGCCAGCAGCCGCGGUAAUACGGAGGAUGCGAGCGUUAUCCGGAUUUAUUGGGUUUAAAGGGUGCGCAGGCGGAGGUGCAAGUCAGCGGUCAAAUUGCGGGGCUCAACCCCGUCGUGCCGUUGAAACUGGCGUUCUUGAGUGAGCGAGAAGUAUGCGGAAUGCGUGGUGUAGCGGUGAAAUGCAUAGAUAUCACGCAGAACUCCGAUUGCGAAGGCAGCAUACCGGCGCCCAACUGACGCUGAAGCACGAAAGCGUGGGUAUCGAACAGGAUUAGAUACCCUGGUA
Molecule: ribosomal RNA, 463 nt
Filed under: uncultured bacterium
Lineage: Bacteria
Description: bacterial SSU rRNA
Rfam family: Bacterial small subunit ribosomal RNA
Source: RNAcentral